AUACUUACCUGGACGGGGUCAAUUGGCGAUCCAUAAGGCCAAUGGCCUAGGUUGGCGACCUCCAUUGCACUUAGGAGGGGCGCCCGCCUAAGGUCGGCCCAAGUGGUCGAGCCUACGUCAUAAUUUGUGUUAGAGGGGGCUUGCGUUCGCGCAGCCCCUGC
Salvia hispanica is the source of this 161-nucleotide small nuclear RNA. RefSeq annotates it as U1 spliceosomal RNA. The record is from RefSeq and is a predicted model, not a curated record. NCBI's taxonomy places the organism in Eukaryota, Viridiplantae, Streptophyta, Magnoliopsida, Lamiales, Lamiaceae.